This 71-nucleotide transfer RNA is filed under the name Caudoviricetes sp. Its description in RNAcentral is "tRNA-Met". It matches the Rfam family "tRNA". From Rfam's summary of the family: Transfer RNA (tRNA) molecules are approximately 80 nucleotides in length. The record is from RNAcentral. Lineage: Duplodnaviria; Heunggongvirae; Uroviricota; Caudoviricetes.
CCUAUAGCUCAGUCGGUUAGAGCACCUGACUCAUAAUCAGGGAGUCCUUGGUUCAAGCCCAAGUGGGACCA